Molecule: ribosomal RNA, 253 nt
Filed under: uncultured bacterium
Lineage: Bacteria
Description: partial 16S ribosomal RNA
Rfam family: Bacterial small subunit ribosomal RNA
Source: RNAcentral
UACGGAGGAUCCAAGCGUUAUCCGGAUUUAUUGGGUUUACAGGGUGCGUAGGCGGAUUAAUAAGUCAGUGGUGAAAGCCUGCAGCUUAACUGUAGAAUUGCCAUUGAUACUGUUAGUCUUGAGUCCAGUGGAGGUGAGCGGAAUAUGUCAUGUAGCGGUGAAAUGCUUAGAUAUGACAUAGAACACCCAUUGCGAAGGCAGCUCGCUACACUAUUAUUGACGCUGAGGCACGAAAGCGUGGGGAUCAAACAGG